Molecule: ribosomal RNA, 492 nt
Filed under: uncultured bacterium
Lineage: Bacteria
Description: partial 16S ribosomal RNA
Rfam family: Bacterial small subunit ribosomal RNA
Source: RNAcentral
AGUGAACGCUGGCGGUAGGCCUAACACAUGCAAGUCGAACGGCAGCACAGUAAGAGCUUGCUCUUACGGGUGGCGAGUGGCGGACGGGUGAGGAAUACAUCGGAAUCUACUUUUUCGUGGGGGAUAACGUAGGGAAACUUACGCUAAUACCGCAUACGACCUACGGGUGAAAGCAGGGGAUCUUCGGACCUUGCGCGAUUGAAUGAGCCGAUGUCGGAUUAGCUAGUUGGCGGAGUAAAGGCCCACCAAGGCGACGAUCCGUAGCUGGUCUGAGAGGAUGAUCAGCCACACUGGAACUGAGACACGGUCCAGACUCCUACGGGAGGCAGCAGUGGGGAAUAUUGGACAAAGGGCGCAAGCCUGAUCCAGCCAUACCGCGUGGGUGAAGAAGGCCUUCGGGUUGUAAAGCCCUUUUGUUGGGAAAGAAAAGCAGCAGGUUAAUACCCCGCUGUUCUGACGGUACCCAAAGAAUAAGCACCGGCUAACUUCGUG